Molecule: ribosomal RNA, 324 nt
Filed under: uncultured eukaryote
Lineage: Eukaryota
Description: partial 18S ribosomal RNA
Rfam family: Eukaryotic small subunit ribosomal RNA
Source: RNAcentral
CCCUUAGACGUUCUGGGCCGCACGCGCGCUACACUGAUGUAUUCAACGAGUUCACCUCGGCCGAGAGGCUUGGGUAAUCUUUUGAAGGUGCAUCGUGAUAUAGGGAUAGAUUAUUGCAAUUAUUAAUCUUGAACGAGGAAUUCCUAGUAAACGCAGAUCAUCAAUCUGCAUUGAUUACGUCCCUGCCCUUUGUACACACCGCCCGUCGCACCUACCGAUUGGAUGGCCCGGUGAAGCCUCGGGAUUGUGACUGGUGCCUUUGUUGGUGUUGGUUGCGAAAACUUGUCUAAACCUCAUCAUCUAGAGGAAGGUGAAGUCGUAACA